GAUGAAGAACGUAGCAAAAUGCGAUACUUGGUGUGAAUUGCAGAAUCCCGUGAACCAUCGAGUUUUUGAACGCAAGUUGCGCCCGAAGCCUUUUGGCCGAGGGCACGUCUGCCUGGGCGUCACGCAUCGCGUCGCCCCCCACAAUUCUCCGUAAAGGGAACGUGUGUUUUGGGGGCGGAUAUCGGUCUCCCGUGCUCAUGGCGUGGUUGGCCGAAAUAGGAGUCCUUUCGAUGGACGCACGAACUAGUGGUGGUCGUAAAAACCCUCGUCUUUUGUUUCGUGCUGUUGCUCGCAAGGUAAACUCUUUAAAAACCCCAAUGUGUCGUCUCUUGACGACGCUUCGACCGCGACCCCAGGUCAGGCGGGACUACCCGCUGAGUUUAAGCAUAUCAAUAAGCGGAGGA
Molecule: unclassified non-coding RNA, 404 nt
Filed under: soil metagenome
Description: partial contains 5.8S ribosomal RNA, internal transcribed spacer 2, and large subunit ribosomal RNA
Rfam family: 5.8S ribosomal RNA (bases 1-122)
Source: RNAcentral